This 444-nucleotide ribosomal RNA is filed under the name uncultured bacterium. RNAcentral's name for it is "partial 16S ribosomal RNA". It matches the Rfam family "Bacterial small subunit ribosomal RNA", at positions 338 to 795 of the family's 1533-position model. The record is from RNAcentral.
CCUACGGGUGGCAGCAGUGGGGAAUAUUGGGCAAUUGAGGAAACUCUGACCCAGCAAUGCCGCGUGAAUGAAGAAGGUCUUCGGAUUGUAAAGUUCUUUAGACAGGGGAGUAUAAAGUGACGGUACCGGAAGACUAAGCUCCGGCUAAAUACGUGCCAGCAGCCGCGGUAAUACGUAGGGAGCAAGCGUUUUUCGGAAUGACUGGGCGUAAAGGGUGCGUAGGCGGUUAUACAAGUUAGAAGUGAAAUUCCCAGGGCUUAACUCGGGUGCGGCUUCGAAAACUGUAAGACUUGAGUGCAGUAGAGGUUAGUGGAAUUCCUAGUGUAGCGGUGAAAUGCAUAGAUAUCACGCAGAACUCCGAUUGCGAAGGCAGCAUACCGGCGCCCAACUGACGCUGAAGCACGAAAGCGUGGGUAUCGAACAGGAUUAGAUACCCCAGUAGUC